RNAcentral lists this ribosomal RNA (468 nucleotides) under uncultured bacterium. RNAcentral's name for it is "partial 16S ribosomal RNA". It matches the Rfam family "Bacterial small subunit ribosomal RNA", at positions 28 to 507 of the family's 1533-position model. The record is from RNAcentral.
GACGAACGCUGGCGGCGUGCUUAACACAUGCAAGUCGAACGGAAAGGCCCUGCUUUUGUGGGGUGCUCGAGUGGCGAACGGGUGAGUAACACGUGAGUAACCUGCCCUUGACUUUGGGAUAACUUCAGGAAACUGGGGCUAAUACCGGAUAGGAGCUCCUGCUGCAUGGGGGGGGUUGGAAAGUGUCGGCGGUUGGGGAUGGACUCGAGGCUUAUCAGCUUGUUGGUGGGGUAGGGGCUUACCAAGGCUUUGACGGGUAGCCGGCCUGAGAGGGUGACCGGCCACAUUGGGCCUGCGAUACGGCCCAGACUCCUACGGGCGGCAGCAGUGGGGAAUCUUGCACAAUGGGGGGAAGCCUGAUGCAGCAACGCCGCGUGCGGGAUGACGGCUUUCGGGUUGUAAACCGCUUUCGCAUGUGACGAAGCGUGAGUGACGGUAAUGGGUAAAGAAGCACCGGCUAACUACGUG